RNAcentral lists this transfer RNA (56 nucleotides) under Salmo salar (Atlantic salmon). It matches the Rfam family "tRNA", at positions 10 to 63 of the family's 71-position model. From Rfam's summary of the family: Transfer RNA (tRNA) molecules are approximately 80 nucleotides in length. Their secondary structure includes four short double-helical elements and three loops (D, anti-codon, and T loops). Further hydrogen bonds mediate the characteristic L-shaped molecular structure. tRNAs have two regions of fundamental functional importance: the anti-codon, which is responsible for specific mRNA codon recognition, and the 3' end, to which the tRNAs corresponding amino acid is attached (by aminoacyl-tRNA synthetases). tRNAs cope with the degeneracy of the genetic code in two manners: having more than one tRNA (with a specific anti-codon) for a particular amino acid; and 'wobble' base-pairing, i.e. permitting non-standard base-pairing at the 3rd anti-codon position. Lineage: Eukaryota; Metazoa; Chordata; Actinopteri; Salmoniformes; Salmonidae. The record is from Rfam by way of RNAcentral.
GCUCAUUUGGUAGAGCAUGGUGUUUGCAACGCCAGGGUUGUGGGUUUGAUUCCCAC